Molecule: long non-coding RNA, 504 nt
Organism: Capsicum annuum
Lineage: Eukaryota; Viridiplantae; Streptophyta; Magnoliopsida; Solanales; Solanaceae
Exons: 2
Source: RefSeq, a predicted model, not a curated record
CUACACAAGUACCAAAUAUCAUAUAGCAAUAAAACAACAAAUAAAAAAAAGAAGAUAACAUUCAUCAUCUUCUCUCUCGAAUAACAUUCGGUGUUUUCUUUUAUUUUUUCUUCCAUCAUAUAAUAAUAAUCAUGUCUGGUCAGAUAUAUAAAAUCUUUGACGCGUCUGACUGAAUCAGCGUUUGAAUGAAUCAGUAGUGCGUCCAACCGGAGUUGUGGUGGCGCAUCUGACCAGAGCAGCGUCUGAUCGGAGACCAAAUUAUUUUACAGGAAUAAUGCUAGAAGUUAAAGGAUCAAGUGUUGGAGUACUUGCCUCUGGACCGAAGACCUUGAGGCACGACGCAACAACCAUUUAUUCAUCUGGUUGGAUCCAUAUGCAUGUUUGAAAUAGGUAUUAUGGGUAUGGUUGCCCAAGAUUACAUUACUUUUUUGUUGAAUAUAUCAUGUAAGAUAUUGUAAGUAGAGUAUUUGGAAUGAAUGAAAACCAUAUUUUUUUGAGAAGCUA